RNAcentral lists this ribosomal RNA (253 nucleotides) under uncultured bacterium. RNAcentral describes it as "partial 16S ribosomal RNA". It matches the Rfam family "Bacterial small subunit ribosomal RNA", at positions 524 to 776 of the family's 1533-position model. The record is from RNAcentral.
UACAGAGGUGGCAAGCGUUGUUCGGAAUUACUGGGCGUAAAGGGCGCGUAGGCGGCCCGUCAAGUCCCGUGUGAAAGCCCCCGGCUCAACCGGGGAACGGCGCGGGAAACUAGCAGGCUUGAGUUCGGGAGAGGGAAGCGGAAUUCCGGGUGUAGCGGUGAAAUGCGCAGAUAUCUGGAGGAACACCGGUGGCGAAGGCGGCAUCCUGGACCGGUAUUGACGCUGAGGCGCGAAAUCCAGGGGAGCAAACGGG